GAGUUUGAUCCUGGCUCAGAACGAACGCUGGCGGCGUGGCUAAGACAUGCAAGUCGAACGGUCCGGUAUUUUUUGUUUACAAAUUGUGCCGGAUAGUGGCGAAAGGGUGAGUAAUGGGUAGGUAACGUACCUCGUGCUUCGGGAUAGCGUCUGUUUACCUUCGGGUAAACUUCCGAAAGGGGCAGUAAUACCGAAUAAUAUCAGGUCUCGCAAGGUAUCUGAUCAAAGAUUUAUCGGCAUAAGAGCGGCCUACCUCCUAUCAGCUUGUUGGUGAGGUAAAGGCUCACCAAGGCUAUGACGGGUAGCGGGACUGAGAGGUUGGCCCGCCACAUCGGGACUGAGACACUGCCCGGACCUCCACGGAGGGCUGCAGUAACGAAUCUUGCGCAAUGGGCGAAAGCCUGACGCAGCGACGCCGCGUGCGGGAAGAAGUCCUUAGGGAUGUAAACCGCUGUCAGGGGGAAGAAAGUGCGCUCCGGCGCAUUGAUCCAACCCAGAGGAAGUCACGGCUAACUUCGUGCCAGCAGCCGCGGUAAGACGAAGGUGGCUAGCGUUGUUCGGUAUUACUGGGCUUAAAGCGUGUGUAGGCGGAAGAGUAAGCGCCUUGUGAAAUCCCUCGGCUUAACCGAGGAAUUGCUUGGCGAACUGCUUUUCUUGAGGCAAGUAGGGGUGCAUGGAACUCUUGGUGGAGCGGUGGAAUGCGUAGAUAUCAAGAGGAACGCCGGUAGUGAAAACGGUGCACUGGGCUUGUCCUGACGCUGAGACACGAAAGCGUGGGUAGCGAACGGGAUUAGAUACCCCGGUAGUCCACGCCGUAAACGAUGCCUACUAGGUUGUGGUGGUUCUGACACCAGCACAGCCGAAGCAAAAGUGUUAAGUAGGCCGCCUGGGGAGUACGGUCGCAAGGCUAAAACUCAAAGGAAUUGACGGGGGCUCACACAAGCGGUGGAGCAUGUGGAUCAAUUCGAAGCAACGCGUAGAACCUUACCUGGGUUUGACAUGCUUGGAUGCUUGCUUGGAAACAGGUUAAGCUGCCCUUCGGGGUGAAACUUGCACAGGUGCUGCAUGGCUGUCGUCAGCUCGUGUCGUGAGAUGUCGGGUUAAGUCCUUUAACGAGCGAAACCCUUGCCGUUAGUUGCCAGCGGGUCAUGCCGGGGACUCUAGCGGGACUGCCGGUGUUAAACCGGAGGAAGGUGGGGACGACGUCAAGUCAUCAUGGCCUUUAUGUCCAGGGCUUCACACGUGCUACAAUGGUCGGUACAGAGCGACACGAGACCGUGAGGUGGAGCAAAUCGCAAAAGCCGGCCCCAGUUCGGAUUGCAGGCUGUCAACUCGCCUGCAUGAAGUUGGAAUCGCUAGUAAUCGCGUAUCAGCUACGACGCGGUGAAUGUGUUCCUGAGCCUUGCACAC
RNAcentral lists this ribosomal RNA (1410 nucleotides) under uncultured bacterium. Its description in RNAcentral is "bacterial SSU rRNA". It matches the Rfam family "Bacterial small subunit ribosomal RNA". The record is from RNAcentral.